RNAcentral lists this ribosomal RNA (264 nucleotides) under uncultured bacterium. Its description in RNAcentral is "partial 16S ribosomal RNA". It matches the Rfam family "Bacterial small subunit ribosomal RNA", at positions 1105 to 1366 of the family's 1533-position model. The record is from RNAcentral.
UCGCCUUCAGUUGCCAGCAGGUUGGGCGUGGGCGACUCUGGAGGAACUGCCGGUGACAAGCCGGAGGAAGGUGGGGAGUGACGUCAAGUCCUCAUGGCCCUUAUGUCCUGGGCUACACACGUGCUACAAUGGCGGUGACAGAGGGAAGCGAGGCUGUGAGGCUGAGCCGAUCCCGAAAAGCCGUCUCAGUUCAGAUUGCACUCUGCAACUCGAGUGCAUGAAGGCGGAAUCGCUAGUAAUCGCGGAUCAGCAUGCCGCGGUGAA